RNAcentral lists this ribosomal RNA (481 nucleotides) under uncultured bacterium. RNAcentral describes it as "partial 16S ribosomal RNA". It matches the Rfam family "Bacterial small subunit ribosomal RNA", at positions 899 to 1397 of the family's 1533-position model. The record is from RNAcentral.
ACUCAAAGGAAUUGACGGGGACCCGCACAAGCAGCGGAGCGUGUGGUUUAAUUCGAUGCGACGCGAAGAACCUUACCAGGGCUUGACAUGCACUCGCAACCUUCUGAAAGGAAGGCCUCCUUCGGGACGGGUGCACAGAUGCUGCAUGGCUGUCGUCAGCUCGUGUCGUGAGAUGUUGGGUUAAGUCCCGCAACGAGCGCAACCCCCGUCCUUAGUUGCAAAUCUAAGGAGACUGCCGGAAACAAACCGGAGGAAGGUGGGGAUGACGUCAAGUCAGCAUGGCUCUUACGUCCUGGGCUACACACACGCUACAAUGGUCGUUACAGCGAGAAGCGACUUCGCGAGAAGAAGCAGAUCUCUAAAAGGCGGCCUCAGUUCAGAUUGCACUCUGCAACCCGAGUGCAUGAAGUCGGAGUUGCUAGUAACCGCGUGUCAGCAUAGCGCGGUGAAUAUGUUCCCGGGUCUUGCACACACCGCCCGU